CACUAUAUCAUUUUUUAGUAGUUAGGGGUUAGGGGGGGAAUUCGGACAAAGCCUAUGGUUGCAGGGAUGCACAGAAAACAUUUAGCCAGUGAGAUUGCGCUAAUGUUAGCUUAGCUAACAUGAUCCGUCCUCGGUGUUAUCCUUCUCAGUCACAACGUGCUUCCUCUUCAGGUGUUCAUGCAUCGCUGUAGUGCUACUGAACACAAGUUCUGCCUUGCAUUGAACACUUUUGUCUUUUAUUUUAUUUUUUUGUGUGUUUUCCACUUUUAAGCUCCGCUAGCAUGUCGUUAUGGUACUUGAGUCUUCCUGUAACAUCACUACUGACCCGGAUUAGCACCAUGUGUGUCAAAGACAAUAGCAGCAUUAGAAAGUGCUCACUGUAGUUUUGAGGGAAAAAAAACGACUAAUUGACUAUUAAUUAUAGUUAAUAAUCGGAUCCCAGAAAUAAGCCUGAAUUCUCCCCAAAUUUAAAGAACCUAAAAAAAGAUUUCUUCUUUUCCUCAAAACAAAAAUGAGAAAUGUGUUUAGGCCUGAUGCAAACGGAAAUAUUAUUGAGUCAUGACUUUACGGAAAAAGAUUUUUUUUUUUUACAUUUUCAGUCAUUUAAAGAUGGAUGAAUCCGUGUGGGGAACCUGAGCUGUCCUCGGCAUGCAGGCUGUCUUACUUAACAGCAAGCCAGUAAUUACAUCAGAGCUCCUGCUGCUGUGCUGAUCCGUCAGCCGAGAAGCUGUCCUACUCCAAAUUAUACUUUAAUGUAGUUAAUGAUCAUGUCUGAUGAAGUUUGUUUACCUAACUUCCUUCCUGUGUUCGCCGAUGUCGACUGAAAGUUUGGAAAACUCCUUUCCGACGACGGAGAGGAGGAUGACCUUCAUCCUUUGGUGAUGCUCAGACUCGCACCAACCAGAUUUGAAUGUUUCACUCUGCUGGUUUGUCUUUGUGGCUGUGCCAUCUUUUCAAUGUCAAAACAGAAAUUAUUCAUCAAGAUCAUAGCUCAGAAUGAGAAUCUGUGUCUCUUUUUUUUCUCGUAGUCAACUUGCCAAAAAAUCUUUGACCUCCGGGGCAAAUGAAAUCUGAUGCAUUUCUCACAGAUCGCUCCUUUGCCUCCACAUUUUCCUCCGUGCCCCGAAAGUGCCUGCUGGAAAAUAUCAUUUGAUCUGCCCACAGGAGUGGAAUGAUCUGUUUAGCACGUCGGCAGCAUGGAGUGGAAUUAGUAAUGCAAUAUGAAGCGUUUAGUUAACUUCUCCCCACGUUUGAUUGUUCACGCCGUGCAGCAGGUUGAGCGAGGAUUGUGUGCCGCCGCUUCUGUUGCCGUCUUCCGCCUAAUGAGGUUUGGUGAUGAUAAUGACUGUAGCAGCGAUGAUGAUGAUGAUGAUGAUGAUGUAAGGGCUCCAAAACAACCCGAGGAGAUCCCGGGAGUUGUUGUUUGAAUGAAGAGAGAAUGAAGCCAGCCUGGAGACAAAGAGGCAGAGCGGCGUGGGUCUUUAGAGGCGACAGGCCAGCAGGCGGGAUGAAAGAACGAUGGAGGGGAUACCGGCCCGGAAUAUGAAAGAUUCCAGGCUGCAGCUGAUAAGUUGCGAGCAACAGGCAUUGUCAUUCCCGCUCCAUCCCUGGUUCUGCUCCUCUCUAAUACCGAUCCUCAGGUCUCAGCUGGAUGGGCUGAUUGUUUGACUGAGCAGAAAAGGGUUUUUUCUCCCACUUGUUUGGCAGAAAUCCUGAUUAAAUUCCCCACAACCCUCUUUUUUAUUUUUAAAUCAGCUGGAGGCGGAUAAUUCCACAAACACUCCUGCGCAGAUUUUCCAGGGAGAAGAUGAAACAAAUUCCUGAAAAUGUUCAAAAGUCAAGUUUUUAGUGUUUUAAAAAAAUCAAAUAACCCACAGCGUCGGAGAAUUACAGAUACAUUUCAGAGUCUAGAGUUUCAGCAAAAUAUCUUGGAAUGAGAUCAUUUGACCCACUUUUAAUCAGUAAAAAUCCUACCAAGUCAGUUUUAUAUGACUGCAGUUUUACAAAGUGUUACGUAAAGAUUUUAGAUUCACGCAGAACUCAAAUAAAUUAAUUAAGUCAAUUUAAUUAUUAGUAACUGUAUGACUUCAAAUCUGUCCAGUUUUCAGCCAUAGACCUGUUUGAGUUCUACUGAUUUCAGUUCUGAAAGCUCGUCUAAAAAUGUAAAUAUUUAUAUUUUUUUCAGUCUGAAAGAAAAAAGUGGUUGCAAAGCAAGCCCAAAUCAUGACCCUUCCACUGCCGUGCUUUGUUUUUGAGGAGUUUUUGCUCAAAGCAAAAGAAAAAAAAAAAGUCACUGAGCAAAUUUUCUUUUUAUUUUGUGGAUAUUUAUGUGUGUAGUCCUAAAUAAUCAAUGGACAAGCAACAUUUUUCUGAGAGGGCUUGUGCAUCUUAUAACUGUCUUAAUCCUUUAACCCUUGAACUAUCUUUGGCAAGUUUACAUUAAAAUUAAUGUCAUCGGGACCCCAUGAGAGAGCACAAGGGUUAAACACAGGAUGUAUUUUAUUUUGAAAGGAACUUGAAUGUGCUAUUGUCAAAAGGGAAAGAAUGCACAUUUGUUAUAUACAGAAAAACUCAAUUGUAGAGAACAUUCCAAAGCUAUAUUUUAUAGAUAAAUGUCUUAAUAUUCUCAAAAACAUAAAUAAAGUGUGUUUUUUCUAAAAAUGAGGAGAAACUUUGGAGUUUUUUUCUGAGUUUCGGUCAGUAAGAACCUGGACCAAAUGAUUCUUUUAGUGAAGAAGGUUGCAGACCUGGUUUAAAACAUUAAUUUCAGACAUUUUUUUUUUUUUAUUAGCUCAAUGAAAGUUUAUUGGUCUGAGGUUAAAUUUAACUAAUCCUAAACUUAAAGUUUUGGUAAAUUUUGACAUUUUCUUAUUCAAACACUUUUUUAACUUUGUUUACAUUUUUUUUUAUUUCCCUUUCCACAAUAAAGAAAGAUAGAAGUUCCAGGUGGAAAAAAAUAAAAGAAAACAGUCAAGGAUUGCGUUAAAAAAAUUGGCUUAGUGACAAAACAAAAAUCUUAGAAUCAGUUUUUGCACAAUCAGCUGAAGCAGAAACAGCUGUGAUGAUUGACAGCUGAAUCCUGAAAUGUUUGUGUGGGAAAAAAAACCUCAAAAAUGGUCACAAAGUAAACUUGGAGGUGGUGGUUUACUGCAGAGACGAGGACAAAGACAAAAAGGAAGAAGAACCAACACAUUCAAGUCUGCAGAGAGAGCAGCAGUAAUCCAGGCUGGGCGGUCUCAGCAGAUUUAAGGUCUAGAAGAAACUCGAAGUCCAAUCAACAAAUCAUCAGGCAAGCAAUUCGGAAUCAACCUUGGAACUUGCAAAAUGCCGGCAGAAGUCUUGACAAUCAAAUGAGUUUUCCUUGUAGCGCUAAAACCUGCAGACAGCGAGCAGUUGUUGCAUCUGCUGACUGACAGCAAACAAGAACUCACAACAAGAGAGAUGUCAUCCUAAAGGAGAGGAGAGGAAGACUAGAUUCCUGCAGAAGGAUCAUUCAACGAUGGAAUCGGGAC
Molecule: long non-coding RNA, 3512 nt
Organism: Oryzias melastigma (Indian medaka)
Lineage: Eukaryota; Metazoa; Chordata; Actinopteri; Beloniformes; Adrianichthyidae
Exons: 2
Source: RefSeq, a predicted model, not a curated record